Mus musculus (house mouse) is the source of this 2437-nucleotide long non-coding RNA. RefSeq annotates it as predicted gene, 31668. The record is from RefSeq and is a predicted model, not a curated record. The transcript is spliced from 4 exons. Lineage: Eukaryota; Metazoa; Chordata; Mammalia; Rodentia; Muridae.
ACCCAGCUCAUUUUAUCUUUUUUUUAUUCAGUCCAAGACCACAGCCUAGGGUACUGCUGCCAACACUGCAAGGGAGUCUUCGCUAUUCAUUGUACUGUUCUAGAAACACCCUCAGGUAUACCCAGAGGUGUGUUCUCAUCUAAAUCUUACCAAGUAAACAAUAAAAAUUAACCAUCACAGUCAUCGCUGUGGACAACAGGGAGAGCCACCAGUUGGACAUCGUGCCAAGAUUCUUCGGUUCGUUUGCACAAAUUAUGGUCAUUUUGCACUGGUCAAGGGUUACUGCAGGAAACGAACCCCCUGAGUAUUGCCUCAUAUGGCUCCCUCUGUCCAAACCUUCAACUCGAUUACCCGUCACCCUGAUUCUCUCUGGACACCAUGUCAACACGAGGUUCUGUCCACCGGUAAAAGCUGACCCACCUUCGCCCUUACUAACAGCACAGUUUACCCAGCUUCUCUUCAGAUUCCUCUGUGAAUGUCCAGAUGUAUGUCUUCCAGCUCUUCUUCAUGGGACUCAACUCUCUCCGUUGAUAAAUUGUAAUGAUUCGGAGUUGGAGGUGUCUCAGAUCAGAUGCCCCAAGGCACGGCACCAGCCCUUAACUCUGCCAGAAGUACUGAAGACACAGAAGUGCUAGAACACGUUUAUAAAUGGAGCCAGGCAUGGCGACACAUUUCAGAAUCCUACGUACGCAGGAGUGAAGGUCAAAACCCGGUCAUAAGACGAUGACGACACGGGACUGCUCCGGCUGGCGCCUGGCCUGCGUUCAUGGAAUACGCGUUUAGGAAAAUCUGGGAAAUACUGGAGAUCAAAGCUACCUUCUAAAAAACAGCACUGGGAGGAUGCCUGAAGAUCGGAGAAAAAGGCUGAUUGAGGUUGAAGUAUGUCUCAGCAGUAGACUCGGCUUGAUUGGCAUCUAGGACGCCCUCAGUUGUGUCCCGCACACCAUAGGAAAAAUAGAAGUGACACCCAGAUGCUGCUGCGUCCCUCUGGGCUACUACACUGUGACAGCCAUUCAACAAGCCUCUUCUGCCUGUCCUUCUCUCCUGAAUCCAGCCACUCCAGCCCCGGGGAGCAUUUUCAAAUCCUCCCAGGUCUCUGUGAAAGAUUCAACUUUACGAGACCGUGACUGAACUGGGCAGGAAGGAAGCUGGUGUCUCUGUCCCAGAAUAGGACCGUAUUGCUGGUGACCCUUUGACCUCCCCUCAAGGCAUCCCCAUGGCUGACCACCGAAAAUAGACUCCUUCCUCUCUGAUUCGCUCUCCCCUCCUCCCUCGGGAAAGAAGACACAAGCGUCCAAGGAGCCAGCAACAUCAUCAGGACUUGACUGUCUCAGGAAUUACCAGAUGUGGGGGAAAGGAUAACAUGUCAUUUCCUUUAGCAAAUAGUCUGAGUAUGUGUGCUUUUCCUCUUGAUCCGGCUCCCUCCGACGCUCUGAUGCAGUGAGAGUUAGGGACAAAUCCCCCUGGCUUCUUCCUACUCUCAAGGAUCCUGGCAGCCUCCUCUGAAACCCUUGAAGCUCAGCCCCUCGUUAAGGAUUUUAUUUCUAUUAUUUUAUUGUAUUUAUUUGAUUUGGGGUGCUGGGAAUGGAACCUGGGGUCUUUAAAAAUAGCUACACAUGCAGUAUUGAGUUAUAUGCCCAACCCUAAGAAAACGCCUUGCCUUUUGUAUAUAUGAACAAGGAUCAGAAUGAGCUUUGACUCAGUGGAAAAUUUGGGAGUCAAGUUAAAUACAAGAGAAUGAACGGGAAGGAAGCGAUGUUGGAGGAGGGUUUCUGGUGAUCAAACUGCUCACCCUUUCCUCUGCACCACGGUCCUCCAUGAUGACCAACAUGGUGAUGUUUCUUGGAAUCUUGCCUCACCAACCCAAUCUUCUACCAGGAAGAGGCCCACCGAUCUCAUGACAAGCUUUAUGUAAGUUUGGAAACCUCUGGUCCACACAGAUAAAGCUGAAGAGUUGCCAUGGUCCCAAAACACCAAGAGCUGAUGUGAGAUGGUCAUCUGAAGGGGAAACAUGUAUCUGGUACAUUGCAGAGGUGAGAGGAAGGUAUACUGGUUAGAUAUUUGUCAACUUGACCAAAGUCUAGUCAUCUGAGGGCAGGAGACCUCAAUUGAGAAAAUGCCUCCUAUGAUCGACCUGUAGGCAAGCCUGAAGAGCAUUUUCCUUAUUUGUGAUGAACAGGGAGGGUCCAGCCUGUUGUGGGUGGUGCCAUCCCUGUGCUGGUGGCUCUGGGUUCUAUAAGAAAGCAGGCUGAGCAAGCCAUGGGAAGCAAGUCAGUAAGCAGUAUGUCCUCCGUGGUCAAGAGGAGCAUCAGCUCCUGACUCCAGGUUCCUUCUCUGUCUGACUUGCUGUCCUGGCGUCCUUCUGUGGUGGCUUAUGGUAUGGACAUGUAAGCCCAAUAAACCCUUUCUUCUUGGGUUGAUUUUUGGUCACUGUGUU